Molecule: ribosomal RNA, 285 nt
Filed under: uncultured bacterium
Lineage: Bacteria
Description: partial 16S ribosomal RNA
Rfam family: Bacterial small subunit ribosomal RNA
Source: RNAcentral
GUGAACCUACGGGACGCAGCAGUGAGGAAUAUUGGUCAAUGGGCGGGAGCCUGAACCAGCCACGUCGCGUGAGGGAAGACGGUCCUAUGGAUUGUAAACCUCUUUAGGCGGGGAGCAAUGCCGGGCACGCGUGCCCGGAGGGAGAGUACCCGCAGAAUAAGCAUCGGCUAACUCCGUGCCAGCAACCGCGGUAAUACGGAGGAUGCGAGCGUUAUCCGGUUUUAUUGGGUUUAAAGGGUGCGUAGGCGGAUUUUUAAGUCAGCGGUAAAAUGUCCGGGCUCAACC